Molecule: long non-coding RNA, 809 nt
Organism: Tympanuchus pallidicinctus (lesser prairie-chicken)
Lineage: Eukaryota; Metazoa; Chordata; Aves; Galliformes; Phasianidae
Exons: 3
Source: RefSeq, a predicted model, not a curated record
UGGAAGAUUGAUGUUGUUGGGUACCUCAGCCUUCUCCUUGUCUGUUGUUCCCAGCUCAGUGCUGCUGGUAAGCAGCAUCGCACACAGAGUGCAGCCACGUUGAUCAGAGAAAGGAGUGCAGGUUUGUGAAAGAGGCACAUCUGCAGGGCAGCGCCUUCAUUACCGCUUUGUGUCCCACAGGUGGCAGCAGGCUGCGGCACUCCCGAGCGCCGUAACGACCGCAUGGAGAUGCGUGGCUCUUAUGGGAACAGCAAGGAACCGGAAUCUGCAUUUCCUGGAAUGCCCGGAACCCCGCUUUGCUGGCCGGUAAUUGUCUGCCCAGCAGGUGAAGAUGCCUUCGACGCUUCCAGUCGAUGACUUCCCCCCUGCGAUGCCAUCGGCUUUCCAGGCCUCCCACACUCACCGCCAGCUCGGUUCGGUCAACCGUUACCCGAAUCCCCGCUCCGUUCCCUUUCCAUGAUCUUCCCGUCACUCUGCCACAAGCCCCUACCAAGGUCAUCGCAGGCAGCGUGUGGGAUGCGGCGCUCGGUCUCAUUGCAGUUCAUCCCAUGGGCCUCAGCCCAGCGAUCCAACCCACCCGCACCCUUCCUGAGGGCCCUUCUGCUCCCAGGCCAAUCAACGCUUCCUUCUGAUGCCAUCUGAGUUCCCUCCAGGCCACUUUCAGGCUCAUGCCUCUUUGUGGCCAUUUUGAGAGUUGCGCUGAUUUCAGCCCUUGCAUUCAAUUGACUUCAACCAAAUUGGCUUUAGCUUUACAUUCAAUUAAUGUAAACCAAAUUGACUUUAGCUUUACAUUCAAUUGAUUUGAACCA